UGGGGAAUAUUGCACAAUGGGCGCAAGCCUGAUGCAGCCAUGCCGCGUGUAUGAAGAAGGCCUUCGGGUUGUAAAGUACUUUCAGCGAGGAGGAAGGCGUUAAGGUUAAUAACCUUGGCGAUUGACGUUACUCGCAGAAGAAGCACCGGCUAACUCCGUGCCAGCAGCCGCGGUAAUACGGAGGGUGCAAGCGUUAAUCGGAAUUACUGGGCGUAAAGCGCACGCAGGCGGUCUGUCAAGUCGGAUGUGAAAUCCCCGGGCUCAACCUGGGAACUGCAUUCGAAACUGGCAGGCUAGAGUCUUGUAGAGGGGGUAGAAUUCCAGGUGUAGCGGUGAAAUUGCGUAGAGAUCUGGAGGAAUACCGGUGGCGAAGGCGGCCCCCUGGACAAAGACUGACGCUCAGGUGCGAAAGCGUGGGAGCAAACA
This 426-nucleotide ribosomal RNA is filed under the name uncultured Enterobacteriaceae bacterium. RNAcentral's name for it is "bacterial SSU rRNA". It matches the Rfam family "Bacterial small subunit ribosomal RNA", at positions 355 to 774 of the family's 1533-position model. The record is from RNAcentral. Lineage: Bacteria; Pseudomonadati; Pseudomonadota; Gammaproteobacteria; Enterobacterales; Enterobacteriaceae.